GACGUAGGGCGCGAGCGUUGUCCGGAUUUAUUGGGCGUAAAGAGCUCGUAGGCGGCUUGUCGCGUCGAAUGUGAAAUCUCAGAGCUCAACUCUGACAUUGCAUUCGAUACGGGCAGGCUAGAGUUCGGUAGGGGAGACUGGAAUUCCUGGUGUAGCGGUGAAAUGCGCAGAUAUCAGGAGGAACACCGGUGGCGAAGGCGGGUCUCUGGGCCGAUACUGACGCUGAGGAGCGAAAGCGUGGGGAGCGAACAGG
RNAcentral lists this ribosomal RNA (253 nucleotides) under uncultured bacterium. Its description in RNAcentral is "partial 16S ribosomal RNA". It matches the Rfam family "Bacterial small subunit ribosomal RNA", at positions 524 to 776 of the family's 1533-position model. The record is from RNAcentral.